UUUUCUCCGGAUACACAAAAGUGACUCUCUUCCACCUUAGACUCACGACUACUAUGAACAGUCAAUUGAUCGUUUAGUCUUGAACGAGUGUUAAAUACACACAUUGGCAAUAUACAUGCAUGUGCACGUGGUAGCUAGUGUAUUGCAUUCCAGUCAACAUGACUAUAUGACAUCCAUCUUUCCCUGUCAUCCAACUGACUGGAAUCCAUGGUUAACUUUGUCUCAGGUUGACGACGUGGAGAGGACCAUUGGAGUGGACAGUGACUACGUGAAGACAACAGACUUUCAGCUAGAGGACGGGGAUAAAAUGUUUCUCUUUCAGCGAGGAGCCACCGGUGCUCGAGCGUUCCUGCGGACGUACAUCGCAAAGAACGACAUGAAGCCUACAAAAUCCGCCACGUGCUGUUCGCUCCUUAGCCGAGAAAAGUUGCCAAGCCGGAGAGCCCAGCUAGUAACAAUAUCUAAGUUUGUGUGGAAGUGCAUAUGGCAUGGCCUAGAAUAUCAUCGGGAUGGUUAUGGAGAAAGAUGAUUGUAUUUGAAUCGAUUUUCUCAUUAUUUCGGAUAUAACGACCCAUGGCAACAUAUUGCACAAGUUAUAUACAUUCUUAUCGAAGGGUUCCUGUAGUGGCAAUGAGAAUUUAACAAGCGUUUUAUGAUCAUGACCUUGCUGUUGGUGUUGUAUUUCUGUUGUUUUAUACGCUAUUGCCGUUUUGUCACAGACGCUUGGGGAAAAUAGCUUUCUUGAGUUUUUUUCAUUUGAUAUUAUUUGCUUUUAUGGUUCAGUUAUUGUUCUUAUUUCAUUAUCUUAAGCGCAUUUCCAAAUAUAGUUAUACAUAUGUGAUUGAAGUAGGUGUAAAAACAGUAGUAUAUAUUCACACUUAUCAUUGUAAUUUUGCUUUGCCAAUAUUUUUACUUUAAAAAAACUGCCAUGCUCUUUAAUCAAGUGUAGCAAGCGAUAAUGAACUAUGUAUCUUCUACCUGCACCUUGAUUUACAUGUUUGCCGUCUAUUCGCUCAAUCAGAAAGAAAACACCGCAGAAAAAUCAGUAAUUGGUGUAUUUUUGCCAAUUUUGGUGUUUGCAGUUUGUUUUGUGUUCAGACGCUGAGUUGUUGAGGUGGACACAAUUAUUUUCUCAUGUAUUCGAACUCAUUUGGGAUCUGUAUAAUCAUGGUUGCCAAAUUCGUUAAGAGAACUUUGAGAUUGCUGUUCAACGGUCGCUUUGUAAAAUCGCCUCGUGACGGCCAGACGUGGUACUACAGGUUACUGUGAAUGAGUUGCGAAACGGUGCGUUUUUACUUGAAUGAGGUUUAAACUUGUGUAUUUUUUGUCCUACUAAACAAUGUACAUCGUUUGGCAUAUCACUUUCUGCGCAAGAUAUAGGCAGAUGUACUGGAGUACCACGUGUCUGUUAUGGGUCAGUGUACUAACAAAGAACCUACGUACAUAAAGACCCAAGUUGUAACUUUACCGUUUCAAAAAGUAAGACAAAGUUUCAACUACCUACACUUUGUGCUUUGUAGCCAUGUGUUGAAUAAAAACUUUAAACGUGA
This is a long non-coding RNA of Branchiostoma floridae (Florida lancelet), 1550 nucleotides long. RefSeq lists it as uncharacterized. The record is from RefSeq and is a predicted model, not a curated record. Lineage: Eukaryota; Metazoa; Chordata; Leptocardii; Amphioxiformes; Branchiostomatidae. The transcript is spliced from 2 exons.